This 77-nucleotide transfer RNA is filed under the name Paracoccaceae bacterium. RNAcentral's name for it is "tRNA-Arg". It matches the Rfam family "tRNA". Rfam says of the family: Transfer RNA (tRNA) molecules are approximately 80 nucleotides in length. Their secondary structure includes four short double-helical elements and three loops (D, anti-codon, and T loops). Lineage: Bacteria; Pseudomonadati; Pseudomonadota; Alphaproteobacteria; Rhodobacterales; Paracoccaceae. The record is from RNAcentral.
GUGGCCGUGGUGUAAUCGGUAAACACAAUUCGUCGCGAACGGAUUUUCUGCAGGUUCGAAUCCUGUCGGCCACACCA